Molecule: ribosomal RNA, 1373 nt
Filed under: uncultured bacterium
Lineage: Bacteria
Description: bacterial SSU rRNA
Rfam family: Bacterial small subunit ribosomal RNA
Source: RNAcentral
GAUGAACGCUGGCGGCGUGCCUAAUACAUGCAAGUCGAGCGAACGGACGAGAAGCUUGCUUCUCUGAUGUUAGCGGCGGACGGGUGAGUAACACGUGGAUAACCUACCUAUAAGACUGGGAUAACUUCGGGAAACCGGAGCUAAUACCGGAUAAUAUUUUGAACCGCAUGGUUCAAAAGUGAAAGACGGUCUUGUUGUCACUUAUAGUGGAUCCGCGCUGCAUUAGCUAGUUGGUAAGGUAACGGCUUACCAAGGCAACGAUGCAUAGCCGACCUGAGAGGGUGAUCGGCCACACUGGAACUGAGACACGGUCCAGACUCCUACGGGAGGCAGCAGUAGGGAAUCUUCCGCAGUGGGCGAAAGCCUGACGGAGCAACGCCGCGUGAGUGAUGAAGGUCUUCGGAUCGUAAAACUCUGUUAUUAGGGAAGAACAUAUGUGUAAGUAACUGUGCACAUCUUGACGGUACCUAAUCAGAAAGCCACGGCUAACUACGUGCCAGCAGCCGCGGUAAUACGUAGGUGGCAAGCGUUAUCCGGAAUUAUUGGGCGUAAAGCGCGCGUAGGCGGUUUUUUAAGUCUGAUGCGAAAGCCCACGGCUCAACCGUGGAGGGUCAUUGGAAACUGGAAAACUUGAGUGCAGAAGAGGAAAGUGGAAUUCCAUGUGUAGCGGUGAAAUGCGCAGAGAUAUGGAGGAACACCAGUGGCGAAGGCGACUUUCUGGUCUGUAACUGACGCUGAUGUGCGAAAGCGUGGGGAUCAAACAGGAUUAGAUACCCUGGUAGUCCACGCCGUAAACGAUGAGUGCUAAGUGUUAGGGGGUUUCCGCCCCUUAGUGCUGCAGCUAACGCAUUAAGCACUCCGCCUGGGGAGUACGACCGCAAGGUUGAAACUCAAAGGAAUUGACGGGGACCCGCACAAGCGGUGGAGCAUGUGGUUUAAUUCGAAGCAACGCGAAGAACCUUACCAAAUCUUGACAUCCUUUGACAACUCUAGAGAUAGAGCCUUCCCCUUCGGGGGGGGCAAAGUGACAGGUGGUGCAUGGUUGUCGUCAGCUCGUGUCGUGAGAUGUUGGGUUAAGUCCCGCAACGAGCGCAACCCUUAAGCUUAGUUGCCAUCAUUAAGUUGGGCACUCUAAGUUGACUGCCGGUGACAAACCGGAGGAAGGUGGGGAUGACGUCAAAUCAUCAUGCCCCUUAUGAUUUGGGCCACACACGUGCUACAAUGGACAAUACAAAGGGCAGCGAAACCGCGAGGUCAAGCAAAUCCCAUAAAGUUGUUCUCAGUUCGGAUUGUAGUCUGCAACUCGACUACAUGAAGCUGGAAUCGCUAGUAAUCGUAGAUCAGCAUGCUACGGUGAAUACGUUCCCGGGUCU